Molecule: long non-coding RNA, 2104 nt
Organism: Sitophilus oryzae (rice weevil)
Lineage: Eukaryota; Metazoa; Arthropoda; Insecta; Coleoptera; Curculionidae
Exons: 8
Source: RefSeq, a predicted model, not a curated record
ACUUGUAGAUACAUUACCUAAGUAGGUAUAAUAUCAUAUAGACAGUAACAAAUCAUACAAGGACUAUAAUUAGAAGAUUUUUCACUAAGGAAAUUUAGAAAUAUUACCCCAGGUUAUUAAAUGAUCUAAAUCACUUGAGAAAUAAAGAAAUGAUGGCUCAUAUUGGAUAAAGAAGAUAGGAAAAAAAAGUAAAUCGAAAAUGUUGGCUCCUUUGGAAAGUUAUUACUCAGCCUGAUAUAUCAAUUAAUUUGCCAAAGUUCCCCCUGCAAACCAAACAAUAAUCAGCACUCCUACAGGGUACUCUGCCAUCCAAAUUAAGCACAUAUCACUUGUAGAUACAUUACCUAAACCUAAGUAUAAUAUCAUUCAGACAGUAACAAAUCAUACAAGGACUAUAAUUAGUAGAUUUUUCACUAAGGAAAUUUAGAAAUAUUACCCCAGGUUAUUAAAUGAUCUAAAUCACUUGAGAAAUAAAGAAAUGAUGGCUCAUAUUGGAUAAAGAAGAUAGGAAAAAAAGUAAAUCGAAAAUGUUGGCUCCUUUGGAAAGUUAUUACUCAGCCUGAUAUAUCAAUUAAUUUGUCAAAGUUUCCCCUGCAAACCAAACAAUAAUCAGAACUCCUACAGGGUAUUCUGCCAUCCAAAUUAAGCACAUACCACUUGUAGAUACAUUACCUAAGUAGGUAUAAUAUCAUAUAGACAGUAACAAAUCAUACAAGGACUAUAAUUAGAAGAUUUUUCACUAAGGAAAUUUAGAAAUAUUACCCCAGGUUUUUAAAUGAUCUAAAUCACUUGAGAAAUAAAGAAAUGAUGGCUCAUAUUGGAUAAAGAAGAUAGGAAAAAAAGUAAAUCGAAAAUGUUGGCUCCUUUGGAAAGUUAUUACUCAGCCUGAUAUAUCAAUUAAUUUGUCAAAAUUUCCCCUGCAAACCAACCAAUAAUCAGCACUCCUACAGGGUAUUCUGCCAUCCAAAUUAAGCACAUAUCACUUGUAGAUACAUUACCUAAGUAGGUAUAAUAUCAUAUAGACAGUAACAAAUCAUACAAGGACUAUAAUUAGAAGAUUUUUCACUAAGGAAAUUUAGGAAUAUUACCCCAGGUUAUUAAAUGAUCUAAAUCACUUGAGAAAUAAAGAAAUGAUGGCUCAUAUUGGAUAAAGAAGAUAGGAAAAAAAAGUAAAUCGAAAAUGUUGGCUCCUUUGGAAAGUUAUUACUCAGCCUGAUAUAUCAAUUAAUUUGUCAAAGUUUCCCCUGCAAACCAAACAAUAAUCAGCACUCCUACAGGGUAUUCUGCCAUCCAAAUUAAGCACAUAUCACUUGUAGAUACAUUACCUAAACCUAAGUAUAAUAUCAUUCAAACAGUAACAAAUCAUACAAGGACUAUAAUUAGUAGAUUUUUCACUAAGGAAAUUUAGGAAUAUUACCCCAGGUUAUUAAAUGAUCUAAAUCACUUGAGAAAUAAAGAAAUGAUGGCUCAUAUUGGAUAAAGAAGAUAGGAAAAAAAGUAAAUCGAAAAUGUUGGCUCCUUUGGAAAGUUAUUACUCAGCCUGAUAUAUCAAUUAAUUUGUCAAAGUUCCCCCUGCAAACCAAACAAUAAUCAGCACUCCUACAGGGUACUCUGCCAUCCAAAUUAAGCACAUAUCACUUGUAGAUACAUUACCUAAACCUAAGUAAAAUAUCAUUCAGACAGUAAGAAAUCAUACAAGGACUAUAAUUAGUAGAUUUUUCACUAAGGAAAUUUAGAAAUAUUACCCCAGGUUAUUAAAUGAUCUAAAUCACUUGAAAAAUAAAGAAAUGAUGGCUCAUAUUGGAUAAAGGAGAUAGGAAAAAAAAGUAAAUCGAAAAUGUUGGCUCCUUUGGAAAGUUAUUACUCGGACUGAUAUAUCAAUUAAUUUGUCAAAGUUCCCCCUGCAAACCAAACAAUAAUCAGCACUCCUACAGGGUACUCUGCCAUCCAAAUUAAGCACAUAUCACUUGUAGAUACAUUACCUAAACCUAAGUAUAAUAUCAUUCAGACAGUAACAAAUCAUACAAGGACUAUAAUUAGUAGAUUUUUCACUAAGGAAAUUUAGAAAUAUUACCCCAGGUUAUUAAAUGAUCUAAAUCACUUG